This 253-nucleotide ribosomal RNA is filed under the name uncultured bacterium. Its description in RNAcentral is "partial 16S ribosomal RNA". It matches the Rfam family "Bacterial small subunit ribosomal RNA", at positions 524 to 776 of the family's 1533-position model. The record is from RNAcentral.
UACGAAGGGGGCUAGCGUUGCUCGGAAUCACUGGGCGUAAAGGGUGCGUAGGCGGGUCUUUAAGUCAGGGGUGAAAUCCUGGAGCUCAACUCCAGAACUGCCUUUGAUACUGAGGAUCUUGAGUUCGGGAGAGGUGAGUGGAACUGCGAGUGUAGAGGGGAAAUUCGUAGAUAUUCGCAAGAACACCAGUGGCGAAGGCGGCUCACUGGCCCGAUACUGACGCUGAGGCACGAAAGCGUGGGGAGCAAACAGG